GCAUAUCAAUAAGCGGAGGAAAAGAAACCAACAGGGAUUGCCCUAGUAACGGCGAGUGAAGCGGCAACAGCUCAAAUUUGAAAUCUGGCUCUCGGGCCCGAGUUGUAAUUUGUAGAGGAUACUUUUGAUGCGGUGCCUUCCGAGUUCCCUGGAACGGGACGCCAUAGAGGGUGAGAGCCCCGUCUGGUUGGAUGCCAAAUCUCUGUAAAGUUCCUUCGACGAGUCGAGUAGUUUGGGAAUGCUGCUCUAAAUGGGAGGUAUAUGUCUUCUAAAGCUAAAUACCGGCCAGAGACCGAUAGCGCACAAGUAGAGUGAUCGAAAGAUGAAAAGCACUUUGAAAAGAGAGUUAAAAAGUACGUGAAAUUGUUGAAAGGGAAGCGUUUAUGACCAGACUUGGGCUUGGUUAAUCAUCUGGGGUUCUCCCCAGUGCACUUUUCCAGUCCAGGCCAGCAUCAGUUUUCCCCGGGGGAUAAAGACUUCGGGAAUGUGGCUCUCUUCGGGGAGUGUUAUAGCCCGUUGUGUAAUACCCUGGGGGGGACUGAGGUUCGCGCAUCUGCAAGGAUGCUGGCGUAAUGGUCAUCAACGACCCGUCUUGAAACACGGACCAAGGAGUCGUCUUCGUAUGCGAGUGUUCGGGUGUCAAACCCCUACGCGUAAUGAAAGUGAACGCAGGUGAGAGCUUCGGCGCAUCAUCGACCGAUCCUGAUGUUCUCGGAUGGAUUUGAGUAAGAGCAUACGGGGCCGGACCCGAAAGAAGGUGAACUAUGCCUGUAUAGGGUGAAGCCAGAGGAAACUCUGGUGGAGGCUCGCAGCGGUUCUGACGUGCAAAUCGAUCGUCAAAUAUGGGCAUGGGGGGCGAAAGACUAAUCGAACUUCUAGUAGCUGGUUUCCGCCGAGU
Molecule: ribosomal RNA, 898 nt
Filed under: Fusarium proliferatum
Lineage: Eukaryota; Fungi; Ascomycota; Sordariomycetes; Hypocreales; Nectriaceae
Description: LSU rRNA
Rfam family: Eukaryotic large subunit ribosomal RNA
Source: RNAcentral